AAGGACUGUAGCUCAGUGGUAGAGCACCUGCUUUGCAUGCAGAAGGCCCGGGUUCAAUCCUCAGCAUCCUCA
RNAcentral lists this transfer RNA (72 nucleotides) under Podarcis lilfordi (Lilford's wall lizard). RNAcentral describes it as "tRNA.Ala". It matches the Rfam family "tRNA". Rfam says of the family: Transfer RNA (tRNA) molecules are approximately 80 nucleotides in length. Their secondary structure includes four short double-helical elements and three loops (D, anti-codon, and T loops). Lineage: Eukaryota; Metazoa; Chordata; Lepidosauria; Squamata; Lacertidae. The record is from RNAcentral.